UUCCGGUUGAUCCUGCCGGACCUGACUGCUAUCGGAACGGGACUAAGCCAUGCGGGUCUGCCAAUUGAAGCACGUCGAUUGGCGGCGAACGGCUCAGUAACACGUAGUCAACCUGCCCUCGGGACGAGAACAAUCUCGGGAAACUGAGGCUAAUUCUCGAUAGGCCAAGAUUCCUGGAACGGGUUUUGGUCUAAAUGAGGUUACAGCAUCUUGUGACUUUCGCCCGAGGAUGGGACUGCGGCCGAUCAGGCUGUUGGUGGGGUAAAGGCCCACCAAACCAGUAACCGGUACGGGCUUUGAGAGAAGGAGCCCGGAGAUGGACACUGAGACAAGGGUCCAGGUCCUACGGGGCGCAGCAGGCGCGAAACCUUCGCAAUGCGCGCAAGCGCGACGAGGUUAUUCCGAGUGAUUUCCGCUGAGGAGAUCUUUUCUCAGAUCUAAAAUGUCUGGGGAAUAAGGGGAGGGCAAGUCUGGUGUCAGCCGCCGCGGUAAAACCAGC
Molecule: ribosomal RNA, 499 nt
Filed under: uncultured crenarchaeote
Lineage: Archaea; Thermoproteati; Thermoproteota
Description: bacterial SSU rRNA
Rfam family: Archaeal small subunit ribosomal RNA
Source: RNAcentral